This 253-nucleotide ribosomal RNA is filed under the name uncultured bacterium. Its description in RNAcentral is "partial 16S ribosomal RNA". It matches the Rfam family "Bacterial small subunit ribosomal RNA", at positions 524 to 776 of the family's 1533-position model. The record is from RNAcentral.
UACAGAGGUCUCAAGCGUUGUUCGGAUUCAUUGGGCGUAAAGCGUGCGCAGGCGGUUUUGUAAGACCGAUGUGAAAUCCCCGGGCUUAACCUGGGAACUGCAUUGGUGACUGCAAGGCUUGAGUGUGUCAGAGGGAGGUGGAAUUCCGCGUGUAGCAGUGAAAUGCGUAGAUAUGCGGAGGAACACCGAUGGCGAAGGCAGCCUCCUGGGAUAACACUGACGCUCAUGCACGAAAGCGUGGGGAGCAAACAGG